This is a long non-coding RNA of Dicentrarchus labrax (European seabass), 3354 nucleotides long. RefSeq lists it as uncharacterized. The record is from RefSeq and is a predicted model, not a curated record. The transcript has 2 exons. NCBI's taxonomy places the organism in Eukaryota, Metazoa, Chordata, Actinopteri, Moronidae.
CCUGAUCCAGCCCUAACUAUAAGCAUUAUCAAAGAGGAAUGUCUUAAGCCUACUCUUGAAUGUGGUGAGGGUGUCUGCCUCCCGAACCACAACUGGAAGCUGGUUCCACAGGAGAGGAGCUUGGUAACUGAAGGCUCUGGCUCCUGUUGUACUUUUAGAGACUAUAGGAACCACAAGUAGCCCAGCAUUCAGAGAACGUAGUGUUCUAGAGGGGUAAUAGGGUACUAUGAGCUCUUUAAGAUAUGAAGGGGCCUGACCAUGAAGAGCUUUAUAGGUGAGGAGGAGGAUUUUAACUUCUAUUCUACAUCUUACAGGGAGCCAGUGCAGAGAAGCUAGUACAGGAGAGAUGUGAUCUCUUUUUCUAGUUCCUGUCAGUACUCGUGCUGCAGCGUUCUGAAUUAAUUGGAGUGUCUUAAUGGACUUAUUGGGGCAACCUGAUAAUAAAGAGUUGCAGUAAUCCAGCCUUGAAGUAACAAAUGCAUGGAUUAGUUUUUCUGCGUCUGUCUGUGAUAGUAUGUGUCUAAUUUUUGUAAUAUUACGUAAAUGAAAGAAGGCAGUCCUAGAGGUCUGCUUCAUGUGGGAGUUAAAAGACAAAUCCUGAUCAAAGAUAACUCCAAGAUUCCUGACAGUGGUGCUAGAGGCCAAGGUAAUGCCAUCUAGAGUAACUAUAUCUUUAGACAGCGAGUCUCUAAGGUUUUUGGGGCCAAGAACAAGAAUUUCAUUUUUUUCCUGAGUUUAACAUCAGAAAAUUGCAGCUCAUCCAGGAUUUUAUGUCCUUAAGACAUGUUUGUCAUUUAGAUAAUAUAUAGAUAGAUAAUUUAUUUCAUUGCUUGAUCCAUAGAUAUAACUGCGUAUCAUCUGCAUAACAGUGAAAGUUAAUGGAGUGAUUCCUAAUAAUGUUGCCUAAAGGGAGCAUAUAUAGAGUAAAUAGUAUUGGUCCAAGUACAGAACCUUGUGGAACUCCACGACUAACUGUAGUAUUUAUUGAAGAUUCAUCGUUAACAUGUACAAACUGCGAACGAUCUGAUAAAUAUGACUUAAACCAGCUUAUUGCGGUUCCUUUAAUGCCAAUUUGAUGCUUAAAUCUCUGUAAAAGAAUAUUAUGGUCAAUGGUGUCAAAUGCAGCACUAAGAUCUAAUAAUACAAGUACAGAGACAAGUCCAUUGUCAGAAGCAAUCAGAAGGUCAUUAUUAACUUUAACCAGAGCUGUCUCUGUGCUGUGAUGAACUCUAAAUCCUGACUGAAAAUCCUCAAAUAAACUAUUGUUAUGUAGAAAGUCACAACUCUUUGGCGAGAUUCUCCAGAAUCUUAGAGAGGAAGGGGAGGUUAGAGAUUGGUCUAUAGUUAGCUAAAACGCCUGGGUCAAGAGUGGGCUUUUUAAGAAGGGGUUUAAUUACAGCUACUUUAAAGGACUGUGGUACACAUCCUGAUCAUAAAGAGAUAUUAAUCAUAUCCAGUAAAGAAGUGUCAAUUAAAGGGGACAUUAUGCAAAACCAACUUUUUAAUCAUUUGAUUAUGUACAUUUGGGAAUCUGGAGGGCCUAUCAGCAGGCAAAGUGUGAAAAAAAAUGACUCAGUCAUGUUUUUGUGGGCUGCCUCAGUCAGAAGAAUACAGGAGAGAAAUCACGAAGCUUCAGAAGUGUGUGUACCUGUUGCCACCCACCUCUCUUUACUUCCUGUUGACUAUCGGAGCUCCGCCAUUGCCAGUCUGUGGAGAGAAGGCAGAGGAAGAAACUAAGUAUUUUUAAGAGUUUAUGCUGUUUUUUAUUGUUCGUGUAAUGCUAGCUCAUGCUAACCGCUGUUAGCUGCAGGGGCCUCAGUGAUGCUAACGUAGUUAUUGUUUGUUAAUUGUUAAAAGAUGAACAUGAAACUUAUAAAGUGAAGUUAAUUUAUUAAGCCAGCUGGUGCAGAUGUCUCCAUAUUCUCCCCUGCUGAUAUUUUUAUAGAGAUUCACACGAAGUUUAAGCCGUGAAUCACCAAGCUUCGUGCGGGGGGGGGCUCUGUAACUCUGUUACUGUUGUGGGUUUUGUGACCGGGGGUAAUUGGCUUUAUGUUGGUCUGUAUUUAGUUAAACGUGCUCCGUCAGUAAUAUGUUUGUGUCGCUGUUAGAAAGAGCAGAAAACCUCAGAGUGAACAAACUGUAGCCGCUCAUCAGCUGUUAGCUCCUUGAGCUGCAUGGAACCGGUAAGAUAACGUUAGAUAGCUUUAAUUGUCUUUAACCUGGUAACUUAUUAUCUGCUGGGUAGCUAGGUAUCUGUUCACCGUGUGGAUCAAUACAGCUGUGAUCAGGAGACACCGUACUGUGUGUAAUUCAGCAGCGGAGGUCAUUUGUUUGGUAGCAUUGUAGCUUUGAUUAGCACACAGCAGCUCUGUGAUGUCACUGUGUUACUUUGGUUACUGAGUCUGUUGGACUUUAUGUUGUAAUAUGAGGGGCAGUGUGAUCGAUAACCCUCGUUAACCGUUAAUUAGGUUGGAGCCUGGUGGUUGUUUUCAUGUUGCUUCUUGUGUAACUUUAUACUGACGUGCUAACGUUAUCUCAGCUAGCGCUAGCUUUGUUGUUUCUCUGCUUCGUUCAGGUGUGUGUGUGUUACGGUGUGUAAAUUAACUUGAUCAACGUGCACCAGAGUUAACAAUAGAGCUACAGUGAGAGAGAAAUAGUCAAACUGCAGGGAUUCAUUAGUUUAGUAUUAUUCUGUAACUUUGAUUAGCACCCAGCAGCUGGGGUUGCUCACUAGGCUUUAUGUGGAGUCAAACCGACGAAUAAAAGUUUUCUGAUCCAUUUAUUUAGCGUUACUGAAGUACUGCUAUUACUGACGAUAUAAGUGUAGGUCCAGUGUAACAUCCUAUACUCAUAAUCUCCUAUUGUAUUAUAAACACUGAGGCUCACUGCUAAAUUUCUGUUAUUGCACCGGGAACUUGUUACAACAUCAGUUACAGUCAGUAAAUGUCCUGUGUGUGUAUCUGCUGCCAUUAGAUAGACAUUGUGUUGGUAACCUCAGACUGUUUCAACAACACAUCACUACAGUUAGCUGCAACAAGGAACCACCAGAGACACUGCUUUAUUAUUUUAGAUUAUAACUUAGGUGACCUGAUGAAGCUCAGGUGUUCCUGGACCCAUCAGAGGACAGAGACAGCUGCAGCAUCAGGACAGUCUGGGUAUCCAAAGGAAGACUCAUGAAGAUGAACACUGACUGCAGAGCUCCAUUACCAGCUCACACUUCAGUAUACUAGAAACCAUAAACCUUGAUGUAGGACAGGAUCUGCACAGUUUACAUAAAAGUUAUAGCUUUGUUACUUACAACAUGUGUAACUGGAAUAUGAAUGAAAUAUAAAUAAAGUGUUUUACUUUUAAGAA